Molecule: ribosomal RNA, 253 nt
Filed under: uncultured bacterium
Lineage: Bacteria
Description: partial 16S ribosomal RNA
Rfam family: Bacterial small subunit ribosomal RNA
Source: RNAcentral
UACGAAGGGGACUAGCGUUGUUCGGAAUCACUGGGCGUAAAGCGUGCGCAGGCGGUUGUGCAAGACAGAUGUGAAAUCCCCGGGCUUAACCUGGGAAUUGCAUUUGUGACUGUACGGCUAGAGUGUGUCAGAGGGGGGUAGAAUUCCACGUGUAGCAGUGAAAUGCGUAGAGAUGUGGAGGAAUACCGAUGGCGAAGGCAGCCCCCUGGGAUAACACUGACGCUCAUGCACGAAAGCGUGGGGAGCAAACAGG